GUGGCCAAUGACAGUCCGCGCGACGGCUGAUCGCGCCGGCGACGGCAAUCUGCACGCGUUGGUGUGGUUGAAGCUUAAGACCACUACUAGCAGUAGCAGCACUACCGACUGGGAUCAGUACCAAACUGUGAUGAAGAAUGAUUCCAGGUGGUACUGGUACUGCACUCUGUACUCCCGCUGCUACGCCAAGCUGACCAUCAAGAAUGGCGUCAUCACCGCUUCUGGAAUACAUGCUCACGAGCGGCCUCAUUACCGCGAGCUAGCCGAUGGCACUUACGUUAAAGUGUAGUACUAGCAGUACCUUUAAUUCUUCAACCACUCCAACGCGUGCAGAUCGCCAUCGCCGGCGCCAUCAUAGGCCAAUGAGAGGUCGCGCGACCCAUGACAGUCCGCGCAACCUGUCAUUGGCCUAUGAUCGCGCCGGCGACGGCAAUCUGCACGCGUUGGUGUGGUUGAAGCUUAAGACCACUACUAGCAGUAGCAGCACUACCGGCUGGGAUCAGUACCAAACUGUGAUGAAGAAUGAUUCCAGGUGGUACUGGUACUGCACUCUGUACUCCCGCUGCCACGCCAAGCUGAUCAUCAAGAAUGGCGUCAUCUCUGCUGGCGGCCUCAAUACCACGAGCUAGCCGAUGGCACUUACAUCAAAGUGUAGUAUCUUUAAUGCUUCAACCACACCAACGCGUGAAGAUCGCCAUCGCCGCCGCGAUCAUAGGCCAAUGACAGGUCGCGCGACCCAUGACAGUCUGUGCACUUAAAGUUAAGGUUCGGCCAAACCAACGCGAUCACACGCGAUCAUCAGCCGGUGUGCAGCGAUGGCGAUCAUUGCAUUUAAGUCUGGUCGCCAUCGCUGCAACCUUUACAUCAAAGUGUAGCACUACUGGCUGAUAUCAGUACCAAACAAUGAUGAAGAAUGGCUCCAGGUUGUACUGCACUCUGUACUUCCGCGGCUACGCCAGGCUGAUACUACAUAUUAGAUUUAAUACUGUAAUUAUAAUACUUCAAAUUACUUUAUCUAACGUACCUACUACGCGUAACUAAAGAAAUAAUGUGCAUAUUAGAUAUUCACCAAACUUUUUCUUAACUCUCUAUCAUGGUGUUGUGGUGACACUGUUAAUUGAAUGUAUUUUUUUCUUUUGGAGACAAAACAUGUAUUUUUUUUAUCACAUUGUCCAUUAAGUUUGCGGAUUGGACAUGUAAUAAAUAAUGUCUCCAAUUUUUUAUUUUUGAUCAAGUUACGAUAUUAUGUUUUGUAUUAUUUUCAAGAACUACAUGUCUUUUUGUAUUUAAAUAAAUAAUUUUCGCAAAAAAAACAUUAUUGUUUCUAAGAUAGUAUAGUCUCUUCUCUCAGUCAAGCUUUUAUAAAAUUACUAAUUUUAACAUUUCCUUAACCAAAGUUCAAAAUGUCAUGCGGAAAUUCGUUAUUUUGCAGGCUGACCUGCUCUACUAUAAAGUAAUCAUGUAAAUCACAAUUCCUUAAAAAUAACCAAUCUAUAAUUUCUUUAACUUUUCUUUGACUUGUAUUUUCCCAGUGAAUAUGAUAACCUCGAACACCGGGAAACGAUACAUCAUGCUGGACGGGUAUACCUACUACCGCCAUUCGAAGGUCAAGGCUGGCUGGAGGUGGAGUUGCACCAACUCGUCCAAGUGCCACGCCAGGGUCGUCGUCGACGACAACGAUCAGAUAGUGAAGGCAGAUGGAGAGCAUAUCCACGAUCGCCCGAAGUACUUCCAGUUAGCUAAUGGCACUUAUGUCAGAAUGUAAAACUAUAGCGCCAUGAUUUAGAUUAUGGCACCGCAAAAAAGUUAACACGUGAAGAAAAACUACAAAAGAAACGUGAAGCGGAAAGGCUAAGAUAUCAAAGGAUUAAAAAUGACCCAGAAAAGUAUAAAUUGCAAAAUCUGAAAGAAAAAGAAAAAUAUUUGAAAAAGAGAGAAAAAGGACUAAUAAAAACUGUCGAUCAAAUGACUCCUAGAGAACAACGUAAAGCACGAAAAAUAUGGAAGAAGAAAGCAAGGGAGCGUAGGCAACGACUUGCUUCUCAAAAUGCAGCUAAUGUUCCAGUUGAUGAUCAAAUACCAAAAAGAAAUUUUCAGUCAAGAGCUUUGGUUGCUAAACUUAAAUCAGACCAAGCAAGAAGGCAACGAUAUUGAAUUAAUAAAAAAAGAUGAAACCAUAAAUAAAUUAAAAACUAAACUGGCAUGUUACAAAAAAUGGUUACAAAGAUUGAGAAAGCGGGAAAAACUUACACCUAACAGCAAAGUGAAAAAAGAGUUGAAUUCCCCAAGUGUUAGAGACACAGUGAAGAAAAAAUUGCUGUAGAUGUGCUCCAUCAACAAUUAAAAGAUAAUUAUUCAGCUCUUCCAAACGAAAAAGAAAAAAGGAUUUUUAGAAGAAUGAUAAGCGGGAGAAGUUUGUGAAAAAAUAUGGGAUACUACAGAACGAAAAAAAUAUAAAACCCUUGAGAAAACUUGGAAAAGUGCAACUAAUUGAUAAUAAAAGGAAAGGCAAAAAAGGUUAUGAAGUAAAAAGAGGAAAAUUGUAGUUUUUCUUGAAGAUGAUUCUAAUUCCAGAUUAUGUGCUGGUAAAAGAGAUUAUAUGACGAAGAAAGGAGAUCGCAAACAAAGAAGAGUUCUCCAGGAUACUCUGAAAAAUCUCCACAGAUCUUUCAUGACGAAGUGCAAGAUAACGAUCUCAUAUUCACUAUUCUGCCGUCUAAAACCAUUUUGACUAAAAACCAGGUUCUAAAACCAGUUUAAUAAAAGUUGAUUUUAUUCAUUUA
Ostrinia nubilalis (European corn borer) is the source of this 2783-nucleotide long non-coding RNA. RefSeq lists it as uncharacterized. The transcript has 2 exons. NCBI's taxonomy places the organism in Eukaryota, Metazoa, Arthropoda, Insecta, Lepidoptera, Crambidae. The record is from RefSeq and is a predicted model, not a curated record.